RNAcentral lists this ribosomal RNA (250 nucleotides) under uncultured bacterium. RNAcentral describes it as "partial 16S ribosomal RNA". It matches the Rfam family "Bacterial small subunit ribosomal RNA", at positions 524 to 773 of the family's 1533-position model. The record is from RNAcentral.
GACGGAGGCCCCGAGCGUUGUUCGGAAUUAUUGGGCUUAAAGCGCGUGUAGGCGGAGCGGUAAGUACCUUGUGAAAUCCCCGGUCUCAACCCGGGAAUUGCUUGGUAUACUGCCGUUCUCGAGGCAGGUAGGGGUCACUGGAACCUUAGGUGGAGCGGUGAAAUGCGUAGAUAUCUAAGGGAACGCCUGUGGCGAAAGCGGGUGACUGGGCCUGUCCUGACGCUGAGACGCGAAAGCGUAGGGAGCAAAC